RNAcentral lists this ribosomal RNA (2550 nucleotides) under Triticum aestivum (bread wheat). RNAcentral describes it as "partial small subunit ribosomal RNA". Lineage: Eukaryota; Viridiplantae; Streptophyta; Magnoliopsida; Poales; Poaceae. The record is from RNAcentral.
CACUUGCCUUCGACUCUUCGAAGUACCGGCCUAAUUAAUCACCUCGGUCGCCGUGACAACGCUGGGGCGAAUCCAACCCAACCCGACCCAACCCAAGGACCUUGUGCGCACUGUCUCUGGCCCGUCACGGGGCAUGGGAGGGGCAGGGAGGCGGAGCCUUAAGAAAUGGGAAAGGGCCGCUAAGUAUACGGCGCGGAAACGCCUCGUCGUUUCUAGUCCCUCCCCUAGGCAGGUACCUUACCUACUAGUUGUGCGAAAUCCGGCCCGUGCCCAGUUAAUUGAUUCACCGUACGCGCAGUGCAAGAGCGGAGGGAGGGGAGGGUAGGGUACUAAUCCUACUACGAAUCCCGCUCCAUGAUCAUGUUCAUCUCCCUCCUGACGAACCCCACCAUCCGUCGACCUCUGACGCCUUAACAACCGCCGGCCCGAGGGCACAGGCUCUCCUUGGGGAAAAAGAGGACCGUAAUAGGCGACUCUUCAGACUCUAUUAAUCUCCAGCGAUGAUCUAACUAACUAACCCAACUAGCUAUUCCCGUCCAUUUCGAGAAACUAACUAGGCAGGGAACCCAGAGAGGGUUUCACGCCAUAUAUAGGCAGGCAGUUCGAAGUUCGGCCGGCCGGAACUCAACGAUCGAUUGAGACGCUCCCACCAAACCAGGCCAGUCCACACGCACGCACGCACGAGCGGCCGCUACCCAAGAACGCACAGCUGGUGCUCCGCCGCCGCCUCCAGGAGGUCCUUCGACAGCCGGUGCCGCUGGUUCAAGGCGGCGUUCCACAGGCGGCGCUAGCGGCCGCUGCGCCGGCCGGCGAAGCGGCGCGCGGUGCCCCAGCAGGCGCAGCUGCCGCGCGGCGGCCGGAGCCCGCAGUGCGAGGUGGAGUGCGUCGACGUCACCGUCGUGUCGGUCUACCUGCGUCCCUUACACUAGACGCUGCUCCGCACCAUGCUGAGGCAGUCGUACGACCCUCUGAGCCGGCCGAGGCUGCUGCUGCUGUUGCUAAUGAGGUCGCAGUCACCUCUAGGAGAGGGCCUCCUGCGGCGGCCGCCGUGCUCGCGCAGCGGCACGUUCCUGCGCCGCACGGACCGCCUGCGGCACGUCGCGGAGGCCUCGUAGCGCCUGCGCCUCCGCACGGUCCCGCUGGGGGGCCCCUUUUCGCUCCUGGGGCUGCGACGAGGACGAGGACCAGUACGGCGACGGCCACCGGACUUUCUUGGCGUCUCGCGCCGCAGGACGAGCGGAGCCGGAGAGGGCCCGAGGCAGGGCUCGGUGUUCCACGUCGGCUACGGCCAGCGGCCCAAGUCGGGCGUGGUGGUCUCCUUCUUUAGCCGGCAGCAGUCCGAGAGGAAGGCCUCCUCCAGCAUGCUCCCGCUACUCUACUGGCUUUACUGACCGAGCCGGUUCAUGGACAUGGCCGGCUCUCGCCCGGACUGCGACGGCACACGCCGGCCGCUCUUCGGCAGCCUCCCGACGACCAGCCAGGAGCUCGGCAGCCACAAGUCCCAGUCUCCCCUCCCAAAGAAGUCUCUGUUCUCCUUUAGGGGUCGGGGUUUGACGAGGGGGAUGUGGGGCUAGCCUCGACUGUACAAACGGACGGGUUCCUUCCACGUGGUGUAACGCGUCGUGUAGCGCGAGGGCAGCGAGUUCGGGGUGCUGAGGAAGGGAAGCGAGGAGUAACAGUUGUAAGUCAACGGAUGGAUGGGAUGAUGGUACAAGCCGCUCUUGCUGCCGCUGCCCCAAUCGGACCAGGACAUAAAGUUCUAUAGGCUAUCGAAGCUGUUCCUCUAGAGAGGAGUCGAGUUCCUGUCGUAGUUCUCACAAUACUUGCUCCUUUACCUCUUCCAGUUCCCCAAGGGCCACCUGUCGUUGCACGGGAUGUGUCUCUCCGACUUUUAGGACCGGCCGUAACAUUUGGGACUUCUGGACGUCGAGUCGCGCCGGCUCUCCUCCGAACACGUCUGGAUGUUGGUCUUCGGGCACGACAGAUCCGGGGUCGUGUUUAAGAUGUUCCCGAGCUUGAUGAAGCUCUAGCUGUAGCUGCACGUGGCCAAGUCGAUGUAUAGCGCCUUCCCGGAACUCUGGAAGGCUCUCGCCGACUUUGUACCACAGUAGCUAGAACCCGACUGGUAAGUCCGUGUCUUCCGACUCCUCGAUGGACUCGUACACAACACGACGUACUCCGACUUGUUCAACCUAAAACGCCUGUUGCCCGUUUAUGGCUGCGAGUAUUGGAGGUCGCUACUUACUUCGACCUUUUACAUGACUGAAACUCUCACUCUCUCUGUUCGACAUAUAUCGCCCUCUAUCUCCAUCCUUGAUUGCGUUUAAACAACCCAUUGCCACAUAACUAGCACGUUUAUUAGAACACGUGGCUUAACGUUAACCUCGUCAAGACGACAGAUUUCAACAAGUCUACAAGCUUAUCGGACGUACGGAAAAAGUCUUGUACCUUUACGCUCUAACGGGUUCAACGGUUUCAGCGUAACAUGUAUUAGAACACGUGGCUUUUAACGGGGGUUUUUUCAAGUUGCGUACUUUUCCUUCUCCUCCG